RNAcentral lists this ribosomal RNA (438 nucleotides) under uncultured Clostridia bacterium. Its description in RNAcentral is "bacterial SSU rRNA". It matches the Rfam family "Bacterial small subunit ribosomal RNA", at positions 8 to 451 of the family's 1533-position model. Lineage: Bacteria; Bacillati; Bacillota; Clostridia. The record is from RNAcentral.
AGAGUUUGAUCCUGGCUCAGGACGAACGCUGGCGGCGUGCCUAACACAUGCAAGUCGAGCGAUGAAAUCCUUCGGGAUGGAUUAGCGGCGGACGGGUGAGUAACACGUGGGUAACCUGCCUCAAAGAGGGGAAUAGCCUUCCGAAAGGAAGAUUAAUACCGCAUAAUAUGUUUUGGUCGCAUGACUAGAACAUCAAAGGAGCAAUCCGCUUUGAGAUGGACCCGCGGCGCAUUAGCUAGUUGGUGAGGUAACGGCUCACCAAGGGGACGAUGCGUAGCCGACGUGAGAGGGUGAUCGCCCACAUUGGAAGUGAGGCACCGUCCUGAUUCUUUCGGGAGGCGGCAGUGGGGAAUAUUGCCCAAUGGGGGAAACCCAAGGCAGCAACGCCGCGUGAAUGAUGAAGCCCUUCGGGUUAAAAUUCUGUCUCAGGGACGAUAA